AUUGAACGCUGGCGGCAGGCCUAACACAUGCAAGUCGAGCGGAUGAAGGGAGCUUGCUCCUGGAUUCAGCGGCGGACGGGUGAGUAAUGCCUAGGAAUCUGCCUGGUAGUGGGGGAUAACGUCCGGAAACGGGCGCUAAUACCGCAUACGUCCUGAGGGAGAAGGUGGGGGUUCUCGGGACCUAAGCUUUUCAUAUUAGCCUAGGUCGGUUAACAUAGUGGGUGGGGUAAGGGCCUACCAAGGCGACGUUCGGUAACUGGUCUGAGAGGAUGAUCAGUCACACGGGAACUGAGACACGGUCCAGACUCCUACGGGAGGCAGCAGUGGGGAAUAUUAGACAAAGGGCGAAAGCCUGAUCCAGCCAUGCCGCGUGUGUGAAGAAGGUCUUCGGAUUGUAAAGCACUUUAAGUUGGGAGGAAGGGCAGUAAGUUAAUACCUUGCUGUUUUGACGUUACCAACAGAAUAAGCACCGGCUAACUUCGUG
This 484-nucleotide ribosomal RNA is filed under the name uncultured bacterium. RNAcentral's name for it is "partial 16S ribosomal RNA". It matches the Rfam family "Bacterial small subunit ribosomal RNA", at positions 30 to 507 of the family's 1533-position model. The record is from RNAcentral.